GACGAACGCUGGCGGCGUGCCUAACACAUGUAAGUCGCACGGGACCGGGGGCAACUCCGGUUCAGUGGCAGACGGGUGCGUAACACGUGAAGAACCUGUCCAACGGCGGGGGAUAGCCGGCCCAACGGCCGGGUAAUACCGCAUACGAUCGUUCGGGGGCAUCCCUGGGCGAUGAAAGCAGCCGCAAGGUUGCGCCGAUGGAGGGCUUCGCGGCCUAUCAGCUAGUUGGCGGGGUAACGGCCCACCAAGGCAACGACGGGUAGCUGGUCUGAGAGGAUGGCCAGCCACAUUGGGACUGAGACACGGUCCGGACACCUACGGGUGGCUGCAGCAACGAAUAUUCCGCAAUGGGCGCAAGCCUGACGGAGCGACGCCGCGUGCA
Molecule: ribosomal RNA, 382 nt
Filed under: uncultured bacterium
Lineage: Bacteria
Description: bacterial SSU rRNA
Rfam family: Bacterial small subunit ribosomal RNA
Source: RNAcentral